CCUACGGGGCGCACCAGUGGGGAAUAUUGCACAAUGGGCGAGAGCCUGAUGCAGCGACGCCGCGUGAGGGAAGACGGCCUUCGGGUUGUAAACCUCUUUCAGCAGGGACGAAUUCAGACGGUACCUGCAGAAGAAGCGCCGGCCAACUACGUGCCAGCAGCCGCGGUAAGACGUAGGGCGCAAGCGUUGUCCGGAUUUAUUGGGCGUAAAGAGCUCGUAGGCGGCUUGUCGCGUCGACUGUGAAAACCCGCGGCUCAACCGUGUGGUCUGCAGUCGAUACGGGCAGGCUAGAGUUCGGUAGGGGAGACUGGAGUUCCUGGUGUAGCGGUGAAAUGCGCUGAUAUCAGGAGGAACACCGGUGGCGAAGGCGGGUCUCUGGGCCGAUACUGACGCUGAGGAGCGAAAGCGUGGGGAGCGAACAGGAUUAGAUACCCGAGUAGUC
This 442-nucleotide ribosomal RNA is filed under the name uncultured bacterium. Its description in RNAcentral is "bacterial SSU rRNA". It matches the Rfam family "Bacterial small subunit ribosomal RNA", at positions 338 to 795 of the family's 1533-position model. The record is from RNAcentral.